ACAGCUUGACUUUUUAAACCUUUACUUCCUAGAAGCCCCUGAAUCGUUAAAGAUCAUAUAAAAGUCAAACUGUGGGGUGGUAAUAAAGUGGGAAAAGGAAAAUCAGGAAAAUACAUGAAUGGUGCAAUGGUUCUUAAAAAAAUAAUAUUUGAAUAAUAGAAGAAGGACCUUGUAAAUAGGUGGGCCUAAUAUAUUGAAUGACAAGAAAAAGUCAGUUUCACCUAGAAAAAGUGGGGAGUAUCUUAUGAAACAAGUGUAGAAUAAUGACUGGGUUGAACAUGGAAAUUGAAAUAAGGGGAACUAUUGUAUUAAAAGUGCUUAGGGAGGUUAGUCACUAUACAAACCAAAUGAAUCCCUAUUGAUCUUAGACUGAACAACUCGAUUAGUAGAGUAUUACACUAAUGGCAAGCUUAUGGUAUAUCUGUGUGGUAUGUGAAUGUUCUUUGCUGAGAGUGAGUGAAUUCGUUCUAUCUAUAGUUCUUUGUUGUUUGAUUUCAUAUCUAUAGUUCUUUGUGAGGGCAUUCAAAUCAGGACGAAAAAGCAAGUCUUCACCUCUAUUUAGAGGACAUAGAGUAAGCACGAGUGUGGCAUGACAUUACAGUCUUCACCUGAGGUGUGGCUGUUGCACUGCUUAGGUUGUUCUUUCAUAAUGGCAGGUGUGACAUAAACAAGGUAAUGCAUCAAACGAUUAGGCCUAUAAGUGUGGUUCAAUAUGCUCGAGGACGAGCAAAGAUUUAAGUGUGGGGUGUUGAUAAUUGGUAAAUUAGACUAUAAUUAGGCCCUAAAGAACGAUAUUUUUGUAUAGCUUUUACGUUAAAAAGUAAUAACAAAAUGCUCUUAUUAGUAUUUAUUAUCCUUUGCAGGUUAUAUCCAAUUAAAAAAAGUCUGUGGAGUACUUUUGGGAUCAACUACGAAGAAAAGGAGGCCAAUCAUACAAUAUCCACAAAGUGCACAAAGCAAAGGGACAAAACCAGAACUGAAGCUGGUCUGCCGCUGUCCGAGCGUAACCACGGUAGGACCGCGGCAGAACACUUGCAGAUUCUGAAGGCCACUCUGCUGCGGUCCUAGCGUAACCACGGUAGGACCGCGACAGGAUGCAUAAACUUUAGGGACCAAAGUGCAAAACACGGGAUUUUAAGCCCGAAACGCUAUAUUAAACGAAUGAAGCUGACCAAGAAAGAGGAGAAUGAUUUUUGGAAGUGAAAAGCAUCAGAAGGAAGGGCAAGAGGCAAGGAGGACCAUUGGGCAUCAAUCUUUAAUCUUCUUCUUUGUUCUUUUACCUUUGAAUAUGAAUUCUUUUGUGAUUUUUGAUAUUUUCAUGAGUAGCUAACUUUUCUAAUAUAAGGUUUUGGUGGAACUCGUUGGGGAUGAAUUUAUUGCGAU
Molecule: long non-coding RNA, 1383 nt
Filed under: Nicotiana benthamiana
Lineage: Eukaryota; Viridiplantae; Streptophyta; Magnoliopsida; Solanales; Solanaceae
Description: long non-coding RNA (NBEN_LNC028634)
Source: RNAcentral